RNAcentral lists this ribosomal RNA (253 nucleotides) under uncultured bacterium. RNAcentral describes it as "partial 16S ribosomal RNA". It matches the Rfam family "Bacterial small subunit ribosomal RNA", at positions 524 to 776 of the family's 1533-position model. The record is from RNAcentral.
GACAGAGGGUGCAACCGUUGUUCGGAAUUACUGGGCGUAAAGCGUGUGUAGGAGGUCUGCUAAGUCGGGUGUGAAAGCCCUGGGCUCAACCCAGGAAGUGCACUCGAAACUGGCAGGCUAGAGUACUGGAGAGGUUGGUGGAAUUCUCGGUGUAGAGGUGAAAUUCGUAGAUAUCGAGAGGAACACCGGUGGCGAAGGCGGCCAACUGGACAGAUACUGACGCUGAGACACGAAAGCGUGGGGAGCAAACAGG